AGUCAUUGUUCAACUUCAUGGCCAGCGAUAUGUUUUGUACAUGAUGGCGGUAGCAGACAAGGUAUUUUUCUAUGCUAGUGAAUUGUGAUUACCUAGGCACCUCAUGCCUCGUUUGUGACUUAUAUUUUUUAUAUUUGACUAGAUGAAGGUCGAGCUAGAAAAGAUGCUGGAGGCCAAGGAUCAAGCUGUCGCUCUUUACAAGGGUACAGAGGUGGAGCGGGCAAGGUUUGUAGCUAAAGAAAAGGAGUACAAGGACCAGCUGAAUAAGAUGGGCAUGGAGCUGAAUGCUAGCUUGUCCUACGAGCAAAGGCUUCAAGAAGAAAUAAAGGCAUUAAGAGUAUGGGAGGAGAAGGCCAAUCAAAGGGCUGAACUCGAGAAACAAAGGGCCCAUGAGGAGCAUGCUCGGAUUAGGGAGGCCAUCCAAAAAGUUAAAAAGGCCAAUUGUUGGGCUAAGGACGCUAUUCAGAGGGCGAAUGAGGCCGAGGUUAAGGCUAUCAAAGCUGUGGAGACUUGGGGGGAGUCUACUAAAUUUGAUCCUUAGCUCAGGACGCUUAGGUGGUGGCCCUGGAGGAGCUCAUCAAGCAUAUUAAUAAGGAAAGUCCUGACUUUGACGCUUCCUUGAGGGCGCCCUUAACAAGCAGAAAAAGGAAUUGAAGAGGCUAACCGAAGCUGCAGGAGUUCGGGUGUCCCCUGCUAACAAAGAUACUGAGCCUAACUCCCUAG
RNAcentral lists this long non-coding RNA (723 nucleotides) under Olea europaea subsp. europaea. Lineage: Eukaryota; Viridiplantae; Streptophyta; Magnoliopsida; Lamiales; Oleaceae. The record is from RNAcentral.